RNAcentral lists this ribosomal RNA (431 nucleotides) under uncultured bacterium. RNAcentral describes it as "partial 16S ribosomal RNA". It matches the Rfam family "Bacterial small subunit ribosomal RNA", at positions 29 to 507 of the family's 1533-position model. The record is from RNAcentral.
AACGAACGCUGGCGGCAGGCCUAACACAUGCAAGUCGAGCGCCCUUUCGGGGGAGCGGCGGACGGGUGAGUACCGCGUGGGAAUAUGCCCUUCUCUACGGAAUAGCCUCGGGAAACUGAGAGUAAUACCGUAUACGCCCUGUGGGGGAAAGAUUUAUCGGGGAAGGAUUAGCCCGCGUUGGAUUAGGUAGUUGGUGGGGUAAUGGCCUACCAAGCCGACGAUCCAUAGCUGGUUUGAGAGGAUGAUCAGCCACACUGGGACUGAGACACGGCCCAGACUCCUACGGGAGGCAGCAGUGGGGGAUCUUAGACAAUGGGGGCAACCCUGAUCGAGCCAUGCCGCGUGAGUGAUGAAGGCCUUAGGGUUGUAAAGCUCUUUCAGCUGGGAAGAUAAUGACGGUACCAGCAGAAGAAGCCCCGGCUAACUCCGUG